Molecule: ribosomal RNA, 249 nt
Filed under: uncultured Actinomycetales bacterium
Lineage: Bacteria; Bacillati; Actinomycetota; Actinomycetes; Actinomycetales
Description: partial 16S ribosomal RNA
Rfam family: Bacterial small subunit ribosomal RNA
Source: RNAcentral
CGGAGGUACUCGAGUGGCGAACGGGUGAGUAACACGUGGGUGAUCUGCCCUGCACUCUGGGAUAAGCCUGGGAAACUGGGUCUAAUACCGGAUAGGACCGCACUUUAGUGUGUGUGGUGGAAAGUUUUUUCGGUGUAGGAUGAGCCCGCGGCCUAUCAGCUUGUUGGUGGGGUAAUGGCCUACCAAGGCGGCGACGGGUAGCCGGACUGAGAGGUUGGACGGCCACAUUGGGACUGAGAUACGGCCCAG